This 128-nucleotide transfer RNA is filed under the name Aspergillus terreus NIH2624. RNAcentral describes it as "tRNA-Pro (AGG) (tRNA-Pro-AGG-1-1)". Lineage: Eukaryota; Fungi; Ascomycota; Eurotiomycetes; Eurotiales; Aspergillaceae. The record is from RNAcentral.
GCCCGGGUGGUCUAGUGGGUAAGCAACAUCCCCUUCCGUGUUACUCCGGAAUGCCUUUACUAACACGAAAUCAGUAUGAUUCUCGCUUAGGGUGCGAGAGGUCCCGCGUUCGAUCCGCGGCUCGGGCC